ACGAGUCUUGACUGGGUUGUAGCUGGCCUUCCGAGGCAUGUGCACGCCCUGCUCAAUCCACUCUACACCUGUGCACUUAUUGUGGGUCUUGGAUGGUGGAAUGAGCUUUUAUUGGCUUGUGAAGCAGUCCGGGCUUACGUUUAUUACAAACCACACAAGUAUUGGAAUGUAUUGCAGUAUAAUGCAUUUAUAAA
This 194-nucleotide unclassified non-coding RNA is filed under the name uncultured Perenniporia. RNAcentral describes it as "sequence contains ITS1". Lineage: Eukaryota; Fungi; Basidiomycota; Agaricomycetes; Polyporales; Polyporaceae. The record is from RNAcentral.